AAAACGACUCUCGGCAACGGAUAUCUCGGCUCUCGCAUCGAUGAAGAACGCAGCGAAAUGCGAUACUUGGUGUGAAUUGCAGAAUCCCGCGAACCAUCGAGUCUUUGAACGCAAGUUGCGCCCRAAGCCUUUUGGCCGAGGGCACGUCUGCCUGGGUGUCACGCAACAU
This 169-nucleotide ribosomal RNA is filed under the name Croton lundellii. RNAcentral's name for it is "5.8S ribosomal RNA". It matches the Rfam family "5.8S ribosomal RNA". Rfam says of the family: 5.8S ribosomal RNA (5.8S rRNA) is a component of the large subunit of the eukaryotic ribosome. It is transcribed by RNA polymerase I as part of the 45S precursor that also contains 18S and 28S rRNA. Functionally, it is thought that 5.8S rRNA may be involved in ribosome translocation. Lineage: Eukaryota; Viridiplantae; Streptophyta; Magnoliopsida; Malpighiales; Euphorbiaceae. The record is from RNAcentral.